GAUGAACGCUGGCGGCGUGCCUAAUACAUGCAAGUCGAGCGAACAGAUAAGGAGCUUGCUCCUUUGACGUUAGCGGCGGACGGGUGAGUAACACGUGGGUAACCUACCUAUAAGACUGGGAUAACUUCGGGAAACCGGAGCUAAUACCGGAUAAUAUUUCGAACCGCAUGGUUCGAUAGUGAAAGAUGGUUUUGCUAUCACUUAUAGAUGGACCCGCGCCGUAUUAGCUAGUUGGUAAGGUAACGGCUUACCAAGGCGACGAUACGUAGCCGACCUGAGAGGGUGAUCGGCCACACUGGAACUGAGACACGGUCCAGACUCCUACGGGAGGCAGCAGUAGGGAAUCUUCCGCAAUGGGCGAAAGCCUGACGGAGCAACGCCGCGUGAGUGAUGAAGGUCUUCGGAUCGUAAAACUCUGUUAUUAGGGAAGGACAUACGUGUAAGUAACUGUGCACGUCUUGACGGUACCUAAUCAGAAAGCCACGGCUAACUACGUG
RNAcentral lists this ribosomal RNA (497 nucleotides) under uncultured bacterium. RNAcentral's name for it is "partial 16S ribosomal RNA". It matches the Rfam family "Bacterial small subunit ribosomal RNA", at positions 28 to 507 of the family's 1533-position model. The record is from RNAcentral.